Molecule: long non-coding RNA, 2926 nt
Filed under: Sus scrofa (pig)
Lineage: Eukaryota; Metazoa; Chordata; Mammalia; Artiodactyla; Suidae
Description: lncRNA (ENSSSCG00040038849.1)
Source: RNAcentral
UUUUUUCUUUUUCUUUUCUUUUUUUGGCUGAGCCUGCCCACCACGUGGAAGUUCUCGGACAAGGGAUCAAACCCAUGCCACAGCCAUAACCAGGGCCACAGCAGUGACACCACCAUAUCCUUAACCUGCUGAGCCAUCAGGGAACUCCAGGAUGUCUUUGCUUUUUAAACACCAGCACUGAGAAAAAUACAUAGCAUGUACCACCAAGCAGAGACCAGGCAUUUGAUGAAUGCUUCCUGAACCAACUAGAAUUCAAGUGUUUCUUAGUACCUAUAUAAAUAGAACCUCAAUCAAUCCUCUUGUUGAGAUGAAGUAUGGAACUCAAGUCCCAUAAAGAUCUUCCACAUAGUUAAAUAAAAAAGAGUACACAGCCAAGUGUCAGAUAAGAAGAGCCCAGAGAAAGGCCCAUGGCAGUUUAGGAGAUGGAUUAAUCAACAUGAGUAGGUGAAGCCAGCAACGUGUAUGUGAAUGAAGGCACUGGAAAAGCAGGGAGGAUUUAGAGAGGGCCUUUUCAGUUCUAAAACAUACCCAGCUCCUUCCUGACCUAGGGUCUGCUCACCUACUGAGCCCAAGGUCUAGAAGGCAUUCCCAACAUCUCUCUUCUCUCGGUUGGCUUCUUUUCACUGCAGGCCACAUUAUCUAACAUGGGAUUCACCUGCCACUCUUAGCAACCUUGUUUUCUUCAUAGCUUUUAUCAGUGUUUAUAAUGAUCCUUUAUUUCUUGAUUGUCUCUCUCUCUCUCUCAUUAGAGUCUAAGAUCCUUGACGUCAAGGACUGUAUUUUUUGGGGGGGUGGGCAUGUGACCAUGGCAUGUGGAAGUUCUCAAGCCAGAGACUGAACCCAUACCACAAUAGCAACCAAAGCCACAGCAGUGACAACACUGGAUCCUUAACCCACUGAGCCACCAGGGAACUCUACAAGGACUGCAUGCUUUAUUCACUCUGGUACCUGCAUAUAGUGGUACACAAGUUACCUUGCUGGAUGAAUAAUAGGCUGGAUGUUGGAUGAACCUUACAAGACAUGAGACAGUGGAAUUCCCCUUGUGGCUCAUUGGUAAUGAAUCCAACUGGUAUCCAUAAGGAUGUGGGUUUAACCCCUGGCCUUGCUCAGUGGGUUAAGGAUCUGGCAUUGCCAUGAGCCGUGGUGUAGGUCGCAGACACAGCUUGGAUCCUGCAUUGCUGUGGCUAUGGUGUAGCCUGGCAGCUAUAGCUCUGAUUAGACCCUUAGCCUGGGAACUUCCAUAUGCUGUGGAUGCAGCCCUAAAAAGAGAGAGAAAAAAAAGAAAAAAGUAAAGAAAAAAAAAGAAAAAAAUUCACGAGACAGUGUGAAGAUCCAAGAGCAACUGCUAGAAAUGGCACUGCAGUGGAGCAAUGGCCCAGGUAGUCAGUGGGAUGCUGCCAAGUCAUGACACUGAUCACAAUGUUGUCAGGUGAUCCUGGACAGGGUGGCAUAAUUUGGGCAACCACCAGCAAUGUACUAGGUGUGGGCUGCACAGAGGUAGAGGCCAUUCAGUAAUUUUCCAUCUUGGGAAGGCCAACAAGGGUUCAUGGUAAAAAAAUGGAGGCUAAGGAGCAAGUGUGGUCAAGGCUACAGGAGGAGGAAGAGGCUACAGGAAUGUCUGUGGUUUAGAAUGUACCCUUUGAAUGAGAAUAACAAAAGCUCCCAGAAGGCAAGAAGGGUUAUCCAGGUUUAACUUCUCUGGUGUUGGCACAAACCCAAGGAAGGCAGAAAAGGGCACUCUAAUCAAUGUUUCUGAGUGCUAAAGAUAAAAUGGAAAAUGAAAACUGGUGAUUUUUGCUCUAGGAUUUAGUCCUAGAAAAGGACAGGCAUGUUUGGAAGCAUGAAGAAGUCAGUGAGCUUCCGGGCUACUGAAUGGAAAGGACCCCACUGAAAUAUCUGAUAAUUUCCACCACAUUUUCUACAUGGUUACCAAGGACAGAAUUGGAGUAUAUGCUGAUUACCUUGAAAAAUAUCUAUUUUCCCACCUGAGUUCAAUUUAAAAAUGCUGACCAAAGGGCAAUGUUUCAUACAGAUUUGACUCGAACAAGCCCAGUGGGAAAAGCCCUGGAAAGCAUAUGGCAAAGAAACUUGGAGUCCAGAGUAUGAUUUAGAAACCGAAAAGGGGGUAUGUGUCAUAUGAGUACACCUAUAUAAAUAAUUACAGUGGUUGAACUCUGCCUAUUUUUCAUCCAUCCCAAGCAACAGAUCUGAAAAAGAAAGAUAACAAUGACCUGUGUGCUUGAGAAUCCAGAGGGACUGUCAGUGACAGAGCUCACUGGGUUCCCAGGAGGACUAAGAACAUGGUCCAACCAAUCUUGCCCUGACAACGUAGGAGUGGGCAGAGGAAGGCAUGAAGAAUGGCUGCCCUUCUACAUCUGAAGGUCAGAACAAGAGAUCCAGGAAUGUGUCUCUGUCAUUUGAAAGCUACAGCCUUUGAACCCCCCAAAGGUAAGGGUGGGGCAAUUCUGGUCCCUGACUUGUAACUUCCUUUUCUCCUCUGUACCUCCUUAGAUCCAGGCUAAAAGGGACGACAGGUAUUAGCUUGUGCAAUCCCUGCAUUUGCAAAGGGAGGAAACUAACUUCCAGAGGACAACGCCAUCUGCCCAGAAUCACCUGGGUAGAUGGCUUCAGGGCCAGGAUGGGACCUUCUCACCCAGCUCUUCUUUCCCAAUCCUCUGCAACCCAGUUGGGGACUGACUGCAAAACUGACUCUGAUUCUACAUUUUGGUUUUCACUCUCCAUUCAUUUGAGAAUAUUCAAAUCUAUUGAACACUGUUCACUAUAUAUUGUUUUCACCUCUCACUACUUGUGCAAUAACCUUGAGGUUAUUAGAGCUACUGGACCAUUGCAUUAGUGCUUUUGUUUCAGGCUAAGGUGGGGAAUUCCACAUUUGCCAGGUAGUCUGGUGAAAAUAGGUAGGGUUUUU